AAUGAACGCCGGCGGCGUGCUUAACACAUGCAAGUCGUGCGCGAAGGUGGCUUCGGCCAUCGGAGAGCGGCGAACGGGUGAGUAACACGUGGGUGAUCUGCCUGGGAGCGGGGGAUAACCUGGGGAAACUCGGGCUAAUACCGCAUACGUUGGCGGGUUUACGGACUCGUCAAGAAAGCUGGCCUCUGCUUGCAAGCUAGCGCCCCCAGAGGAGCCCGCGGCUGAUUAGCUAGUUGGUGAGGUAAUGGCUCACCAAGGCGACGAUCAGUAGCCGG
This 275-nucleotide ribosomal RNA is filed under the name uncultured bacterium. RNAcentral's name for it is "partial 16S ribosomal RNA". It matches the Rfam family "Bacterial small subunit ribosomal RNA", at positions 29 to 290 of the family's 1533-position model. The record is from RNAcentral.